AUUGAACGCUGGCGGCAUGCCUUACACAUGCAAGCCGAACGGCAGCACGGGAGCAAUCCUGGUGGCGAGUGGCGAACGGGUGAGUAAAGUAUCGGAACGUGCCCAGUCGUGGGGGAUAACGUAGCGAAAGUUACGCUAAUACCGCAUACGAUCUAUGGAUGAAAGCGGGGGAUCGCAAGACCUCGCGCGAUUGGAGCGGCCGAUAUCAGAUUAGGUAGUUGGUGGGGUAAAGGCUCACCAAGCCGACGAUCUGUAGCUGGUGUGAGAGGACGACCAGCCACACUGGGACUGAGACACGGCCCAGACUCCUACGGGAGGCAGCAGUGGGGAAUUUUGGACAAUGGGCGAAAGCCUGAUCCAGCCAUGCCGCGUGCAGGAUGAAGGCCUUCGGGUUGUAAACUGCUUUUGUACGGAACGAAAAGGUUUGGCCUAAUAAGCUGAGCUCAUGACGGUACCGUAAGAAUAAGCACCGGCUAGCUACGUGCCAGCCGCCGCGGUAA
RNAcentral lists this ribosomal RNA (500 nucleotides) under uncultured bacterium. Its description in RNAcentral is "partial 16S ribosomal RNA". It matches the Rfam family "Bacterial small subunit ribosomal RNA", at positions 30 to 523 of the family's 1533-position model. The record is from RNAcentral.